RNAcentral lists this ribosomal RNA (464 nucleotides) under uncultured bacterium. Its description in RNAcentral is "partial 16S ribosomal RNA". It matches the Rfam family "Bacterial small subunit ribosomal RNA", at positions 28 to 507 of the family's 1533-position model. The record is from RNAcentral.
GACGAACGCUGGCGGCGUGCUUAACACAUGCCAGUCGAACGGAAAGGCCCCUUUGGGGGUACUCGAGUGGCGAACGGGUGAGUAACACGUGAGUAACCUGCCCUUUACUUCGGGAUAACUUCAGGAAACUGGGGCUAAUACCGGGUAGGAAUCCUUGCUGCAUGGUGGGGGUUGGAAAGCUUCGGCGGUUUUGGAUGGACUCGCGGCUUAUCAGCUUGUUGGUGGGGUAGUGGCUUACCAAGGCUUUGACGGGUAGCCGGCCUGAGAGGGCGACCGGCCACAUUGGGACUGAGAUACGGCCCAGACUCCUACGGGAGGCAGCAGUGGGGAAUAUUGCACAAUGGGCGGAAGCCUGAUGCAGCAACGCCGCGUGCGGGAUGACGGCCUUCGGGUUGUAAACCGCUUUCAGCAGGGGCGAAGCUUUUGUGACGGUACCUGCAGAAGAAGCACCGGCUAACUACGUG